Heterocephalus glaber (naked mole-rat) is the source of this 4319-nucleotide long non-coding RNA. RefSeq lists it as uncharacterized. Lineage: Eukaryota; Metazoa; Chordata; Mammalia; Rodentia; Bathyergidae. The record is from RefSeq and is a predicted model, not a curated record.
GGGCUCUGCCCUAUUUUGUUUUUGCGGCUGGACCUACUACAGACACAGUGCUGGCAGCGGUGCAGACCGGAGCGCAGCCCAGGCUUCCUCUUUCCCUCUGUUCUUGGCUGCUUCAGUAUGAACAGAAAACGUGGGCAGGGGCCAACUGGCAGAAGCCACAGAAAUAGCAGCGCGUGAUUCUCAGAGGAGCAGCAGAAAGGCCGGCAGCAGGCCCUGCCCUCUGCCCAGUUCUCGUUGAAGAAGGUUACUGUUGGCUCGCAGUCCCCAGCGGUUUCCGGGCUCACUUCCCUCCGGGCAGGGCAGACCACGCCAGUGAAGAGACCACUCAGAGGUUGGGCUCCGUGAUCUCGGCCAACAGCACACUGCCCAGAGGCAGGAGAGACACUGGACUGCAAAUGCCACGUAGAAAUCUCACUAUCUGAACUGCACUACGUGGCAGAGCCUACUCGGAAGAGGGCACAGCUGGGCCGCCUCUGAGCCCUGGAAAAGGGUGCAGCGCCCAGGAGCGAAGGUGUCAAUCAUCCCGGCGCAUGCGUGGAAGGCCGGCCCUGGGAUUAGCAGGCUUCCAGAGCCAGCUGGCUGCUGCUCAUUAGCAACCGCCUGGAGCGAAGUUGCCCGGGGCUGUUUUCGGCAAGCCCAGCCCAGCCGCGGACAGAGCGGGUGACUCAAACUCUCCUUUGCCAGUUUCUCCGUUUCCUCCCCCUCCCUCUCUCUUUCUGGGUCUACAAUACUCUGGUCAGGACAGUUCCAGUCAUAACUGGAUCUUUCCACUACGUAGUAGCACACAUGAGGAUUUGCUGGAGGAGUGUUUUGUUUUGUUUCGCUACUAUUAAGCAAGAUUGCUUCAUAAUCCUUUAAGUGUUUUUUAGCCAAGUCUUACUUUCACAUCCUGGCCAACAAGCACGUGAUUAAGCCCAGGAUGUCAAGGAGGGAAAGCAGAUACACAUCUGAAAAACAGCUGAUGCUGUUUCAUUCAGUAGACAAAAACAACUGAGCUGUGGAAAAGGACAACUGUCUCUUGGGCCAACGGGACACAAAACUCAGAUUCUGGAGACCCUCAGGACAAGGAGGAGCUGCUGAGGAUCAAACUCCGGACCUUGGGCUUGAAAGGCAGGCGGAAGAACCACUGAGUUAAAUCCCUGGCCCCUCAGCUCUUGAAUGUGGCCACCUACCUUGACAGUUCUUUAGUAAAAGCUUGGUAAAUCAAGUAGAAGUUUAUACUGACAAACUGUGUAACACUGUUGGAGAGAACGUUUUCUAAGAAGUUUGAAAACAGUCUUUGGUGGCUCCAGUUCAAAAUGAGGUUCACGUGUGGAUGUGUGAACAGUGCUUCCAGUUCAAACAAGAACAAUGAAUUCCACAAGCCCACAAGAAUGUGACAAGGUGUCAACAAAGCCAACCAGGAAGGUGAUGUAUGGCCCACACAGCUUCCAUAAAUCACUUCACAACCAAGACUACAAAAGAAUGAACUAGCAACCCAGAGCCAGAGUGCAAACCCUCAAACAUUCAUAGUCCCUCAGCCCACUGUGCUUGUCAAGCACCCUCACUGCCAGUCACCUGUCACCUGUUCAUCAACCAGCUGGCCUGCUCCAUAGUUAGGACAAGUGCUUUUCCUUCUGUCCCAAAUACUAACAUACAGGGAGGAGCACUAUUCGAUUUAAUGCCUUAGGGACAUGUAUCUACACAGCUAUCUUGAAGGCUGCCUAGAAAGUUCUAUAUUUCAAUUUAGAAAAACUUGAAACGUCAAUUUCAAAGGUUUAUAAAUGGCAAAGUACUUGUUUAUAGGUGAAAAUUUGAUUUAGAAAGUUUGGGUUUCGAUGGUGAAAUGAUUUUACAGUUUUAAAAAUCAGGUCAUAACUUUUACCUACUUGAUAGUGAUAGAGAAAUUAAAAACUAGCAAUUUAGAAACCCUUUCUGGGAUUAUAGGAUUUCGUUUUCUGAAAAACUGAGUAUGUAGUUGUGUAUACACCAAAAUUAAGAGGGGAAUGGAAGCACUUAACCUUGUUUUAUGCAAAGUAACUUACUGGCAAAAAUAAAAUUAUCAAGUAAGUAAUUUUCUAUCAAGGUUUUAAUAUAUCUAAAUGAUUUUAUAUACUCUUUAUACCAUGAUUUGGAGAUGAGUGCACAGUGUAAAUUUCUAAUGCAGAAACUCCUGAAAAUAUAUAAAUACAAAUGAUUGACUGAUUUCAUAGCAACUUGGAAUCCAUUCUGUGAAAACCAUGAUGCAGACUUUCAAGAGAAGCUAAAUACAUCAUCUAUAAACAUUUAUUCAUAUGAUAGACUGACUUUGGGCUACUACAUUCCUGCAUAACAAGUUUGAGAGAAAAAUAAAAAACUUCUAAAGAAACAGUUUUAUUGAAAACUAAAGAAAACAUAAAAGAAAAAACUCAUCAAUUUCCAUGAUAAUGAAGACCAAGGUCAGCCUUAGAUGAAUGUGGUUCUAUUUCUUCCCUUCAACCAUUUUUUAAAAAUAAUCAAAGAUUCUAAAAAUAGCUGGAAUAGCAGAGAUGAGCUCAUCCUCCACUGACUAACCUUGCUUAUUCUCUAUAAUGAUAAUAAAAAUAAUGAAAACAGCAAAUAAAAAUAAAAAGGGCAUUCACUAAAUUGGUAGUUUAGACUCACAGAAAGUAGACCAAUGAUUGAUGUUAAGUCUUAAAAAAAUCUAAAUACACAAAAAUCUACAUAAAUGAUUCUUUGGAUCAACUUUGAAAUAAACUAAGGGUUACUAUAAAUUCCAAGUUCUAGUGCUUGUAAAUAGAUCACUUUAGAAUAAUAUGACUUACUUAUCCAAGAAUACAAGUGUUCAAUUAAAAAAUAUACAUCUGUUAUUACUGCCAAUAAAACCAUCAAAUCAAGAAUGGACUGAGCCACUUUGAGUGUAUCUUCUAGGAUUAGAAUGAGUAAAAAUUCAAUUUGGGAUUAUAUUGGAAGAAUUACCUCUUGUAUGAACUAUUAAAUGCUUUUCAAUAUAUACAUUUCUUAUUACUUUUACACAUUUAUGAUUUAAACAAAACAAAACCCAUUAGGCUAUAGUGUCAAGCUACAUGGUAAUUCUAAAAGUAUUACUGGGGUUGGAUAAAGGGAGAUGAGAACAUAAAAUUGAGUACAUGCAAAUUUGUGAGAUUCCAGUUUUCUUGCAGUGGAAAAGCUUGUAGAAAGAGUUGUGUUUGUUUCAAAAUAUGACUCUAUUUUGCUAAGAUGGAGCUCCAAACUGGAAAAGGAAAAGGAGAGAAGGACGCUGGGGCCAACCAUUUGAACUCGUCUAAUAUUUCUAAGCAUUCUUGUGAAAAUACUAAACUUCAUACAGAGAUACAGAAAAAUAGAUGGGUUAGAAUCAUGAACAUCUACCCUUUUAUAUAAGGAAAAGAUAUUUUGGCAGUCCAUAGGAGGUUCCUGGGGUAAAUCUGGGCAGGCCGGUUCAUAUGCAAAGAACAAAUAUACAUAAAUCACUUGUGAGCUGCUCUAACAAAGCCAACAAGGCACCUGUUGGCACCCUAUUCCUCCUUCUGAAAAAGACUAAAACAUCUUCUAGAAGGAACUACAUCUUCAGAUGGUUUCCAUCCUACUUGCAACCUAGGCUCUGUUGUAUGAGAGCAACUUGCUCCCAAUGAGGAUGAUUAACAUUUCCUGAGUUCUGCCUCACCCCAUUAGACUUGGAUAUACAUUUUCACUUAAAGUUUCUGAGCAAGACUGGCAAAGCCUUCAGCUAAACAGCAGACUUCACAUAGCUUUAAAUUAUAUAUAUUUUAUAUACUGACUAUUUACAUUUUAUAUAUGUAGGCUAUUUAUAUCAUUUGUUCUAAUUUUUGUUUUAAAUAUACAAAUGCUUAUCUUCAUAGAUAAUAAAUGAGAUCUUUGAGUAUAAAGGAUAAACUCUUACACAUAUUCACAACUAGCCGGUAUCAGUACAUAUAGCCCAAGACUCAACUCCAAUUAAGUCCAAAGUGAAGAAAGGAAAAUUGAAAAUUACUACAAAUUUGCCUCUAUUUUAUUGUCACUUCAUUCAGUCAGCAAAUAUCCAUUAAACAUAUAGUGUAUAUAAAAUGCUGUAUGGUAAAAUACAAAGUGAAGUCUCACAUAUUGUUUGCCAUUAUUAGCAUAUCUCAAAAUUACCUUUUUAUGAGUGUGAUUUUUGUUAAUUCCAUAAGGUCAUAAACCAUAUAUUAAUUCCUCUGAAUGUCCUGUAUGUUAAUCAUUUAAUAUAUAAUUCUAUCAUGUCAUUAUUGUACAGGCAUGGGUAAAUACCAGAAGCAAAACUUGAAAACAGAGGCCGAGGAUUUAGCUCAGUGGUUUAGCUGCCUGCUGUGCAAGUGCAUGGA